UAUAGUUGGAGGUGUUGACUCAAGACCAAAAUUCAGCCUGUUUCUUACCAUGGAGGGCAGACCUACCCCUCCUCGUACCUAUUAAACAUCUGUUUUACUCCCCUUGAGGUCAUAAAUUCACAGGAUAGCCAGCAAGAGCAACAUUAUUCCAGUAUGUUCCAGUGUCCAUAAGGAAACAUUGUGACACCCUGUUGUGAACUGCUGAACUUUCUGGAACUGGCGAGCACGAAUCAGAACCGCUGCUGGUCCUUGAAGAAGAUAUGACUCGAGAAAGAGCAUCAAGUACUGGCCAAACAUAACUUUGGAAAAGUCUGCCAAUAAUUGCCUUUACUGUCUUAACAUUCCACACUGCGAAAGACAGGCUAGAAAGCCUUGUAGACAAGGAAGACCAUGCUGAAUGAAAAGCUAGCAGUGAGAUUACAAAGGCUAGAAGGAGCUCAGUAGGAACAGCAAUGAGAGCUGCUCUAGAGUCCAGCAUCUGUACCUGAAGACUCUCCAGCACUGCACGAACACAAUGAAAUGACUGGAAAAGCACUUCGAAGACUGCACUACGUCAUGUUCAAAGCUGGAAAAGCAUUCUAAUGCAGCAGAAGAAAGACAAACCUACACUCCUCUCAUAUGAAUAAACAGACAAAAGUAA
Non-coding RNA from Phasianus colchicus (ring-necked pheasant), 640 nucleotides. The record is from RefSeq and is a predicted model, not a curated record. Lineage: Eukaryota; Metazoa; Chordata; Aves; Galliformes; Phasianidae.